GCACUCCGCCUGGGGACUACGGUCGCAAGACUAAAACUCAAAGGAAUUGACGGGGACCCGCACAAGCGGUGGAGCAUGUGGUUUAAUUCGAUGCAACGCGAAAAACCUUACCACUCCUUGACAUGGAGAUUAGAUCCUUCUUAACGGAAGGGCGCAGUUCGGCUGGGUCUCGCACAGGUGCUGCAUGGCUGUCGUCAGCUCGUGUCGUGAGAUGUUGGGUUAAGUCCCGCAACGAGCGUAACCCUCAUCCUUAGUUGCCAGCGGAUAAUGCCGGGUACUUUAAGGAAACUGCCGGUGGUAAACCGGAGGAAGGUGGGGAUGAUGUCAAGUCAGCACGGCCCUUAUGGGGUGGGCUACACACGUGCUACAAUGGUGACUACAAUAGGUUGCAACGCCGCAAGGCUGAGCUAAUCCAUAAAAGUCAUCUCAGUUCGGAUUGUCCUCUGUAACUCGAGGGCAUGAAGUCGGAAUCGCUAGUAAUCGUGGAUCAGCAUGCCACGGUGAAUACGUUCUCGGGUCUUGUACACACUGCCCGUCACGCCAUGGGAAUUGGCU
RNAcentral lists this ribosomal RNA (555 nucleotides) under uncultured Anaplasma sp. Its description in RNAcentral is "bacterial SSU rRNA". It matches the Rfam family "Bacterial small subunit ribosomal RNA", at positions 864 to 1416 of the family's 1533-position model. The record is from RNAcentral. Lineage: Bacteria; Pseudomonadati; Pseudomonadota; Alphaproteobacteria; Rickettsiales; Anaplasmataceae.